AAAGAAACCACCAGGGAUUGCCCUAGUAACGGCGAGUGAAGCGGCAACAGCUCAAAUUUGAAAUCUGGCGUCUUUGGCGUCCGAGUUGUAAUUUGCAGAGGGCGCUUUGGCAUUGGCAGCGGUCCAAGUUCCUUGGAACAGGACGUCACAGAGGGUGAGAAUCCCGUACGUGGUCGCUAGCCUUUACCGUGUAAAGCCCCUUCGACGAGUCGAGUUGUUUGGGAAUGCAGCUCUAAAUGGGAGGUAAAUUUCUUCUAAAGCUAAAUACUGGCCAGAGACCGAUAGCGCACAAGUAGAGUGAUCGAAAGAUGAAAAGCACUUUGGAAAGAGAGUUAAAAAGCACGUGAAAUUGUUGAAAGGGAAGCGCUUGCAGCCAGACUUGCCUGUAGUUGCUCAUCCGGGUUUUUACCCGGUGCACUCUUCUAUAGGCAGGCCAGCAUCAGUUUGGGCGGUUGGAUAAAGGUCUCUGUCACGUACCUCCUCUCGGGGAGAACUUAUAGGGGAGACGUAAUGCAACCAGCCUGGACUGAGGUCCGCGCAUCUGCUAGGAUGCUGGCGUAAUGGCUGUAAGCGGCCCGUCUUGAAACACGGACCAAGGAGUCUAACAUCUAUGCGAGUGUUUGGGUGUCAAGCCCGAGCGCGUAAUGAAAGUGAACGGAGGUGGGAACCUUUCGGGGUGCACCAUCGACCGAUCCUGAUGUCUUCGGAUGGAUUUGAGUAAGAGCAUAGCUGUUGGGACCCGAAAGAUGGUGAACUAUGCUUGAAUAGGGUGAAGCCAGAGGAAACUCUGGUGGAGGCUCGCAGCGGUUCUGACGUGCAAAUCGAUCGUCAAAUUUGGGCAUAGGG
Molecule: ribosomal RNA, 846 nt
Filed under: Boeremia trachelospermi
Lineage: Eukaryota; Fungi; Ascomycota; Dothideomycetes; Pleosporales; Didymellaceae
Description: partial large subunit ribosomal RNA
Rfam family: Eukaryotic large subunit ribosomal RNA
Source: RNAcentral